UGGUGGCGAGUGGCGAACGGGUGAGUAAUACAUCGGAACGUACCCAGGAGUGGGGGAUAACGUAGCGAAAGUUACGCUAAUACCGCAUAUUCUGUGAGCAGGAAAGCGGGGGAUCGCAAGACCUCGCGCUCUUGGAGCGGCCGAUGUCGGAUUAGCUAGUUGGUGAGGUAAAAGCUCACCAAGGCGACGAUCCGUAGCAGGUCUGAGAGGAUGAUCUGCCACACUGGGACUGAGACACGGCCCAGACUCC
Molecule: ribosomal RNA, 250 nt
Filed under: uncultured bacterium
Lineage: Bacteria
Description: partial 16S ribosomal RNA
Rfam family: Bacterial small subunit ribosomal RNA
Source: RNAcentral